Ctenopharyngodon idella (grass carp) is the source of this 2641-nucleotide long non-coding RNA. RefSeq lists it as uncharacterized. NCBI's taxonomy places the organism in Eukaryota, Metazoa, Chordata, Actinopteri, Cypriniformes, Xenocyprididae. The record is from RefSeq and is a predicted model, not a curated record. The transcript is spliced from 2 exons.
GCACUGCUUCUGAGCUUUAUGAAUCUUUUGUUUCGAAUUAGUGAUUCGGAUCUCCUAUCAAACGGCUAAACUGCUGAAAUCACGUGACUUUGGCUCUCGAAUCCACUGAUUCGAUUCGUAAAGCUCUGAAUCAGUAAUUUGAAAUCGUCCCAUCACUAUAUAUUGUUGAAAAGUCGUUAUUUUUUUUUUAUUUUUUUUGGCGCACAAAAAGUAUUCUUGUCGCUUUAAAGUAUUAAAAUAGAACCACUGAACUCACAUGAACUGUUUCAAAUAUGUUUUUAGUACCUUUAUGGACCUUGAGUUUUUCAGUGGCUUUGCUCUCAAUAGAGGCCUCACUGAGCCAUCGGAUUUCAUCAACAAUAUCUUAAUUUGUGUUCCGAAGAUGAACGAAGGUCUAACGGGUAUAGAACGACAUGAGGGUGAGUAAUAAAUGACAUUAUUUUCAUUUUUGGGUGAACUAACACUUUAAUGCGUAGUGACUGACCACACUUCGUGCUACACUACAGGCUAAAAUCACAUGUGUUUGGCUAAUGGCUCCACCUAGUGGUGGUUCCCGCAAUGAAGCCUAUUGGGACUUGUGAAGUUUUACUUGGACGAAAAGUACAAAAUGUUUUAAAACCGAAUAUUGGUCCAAAAAAACAUUAUAACAGAUUGAAAACAUAUUUCUUAAUUCCCUGGAAUGUCUGGAAUCUUGCAGGGAAUUAUACUAUUAGCAUUUCGUUCUCACAUCCUCUCCCUCCCUCUGUUCAUAAUCUGGGUUUGAAGGACAGAGAAGCAGUUCCCUCAGUGCUGCUGACAAAUGAGAGAGAGAGAGAGAGAGAGAGCAAAGGAGUGUCUGUGUGGUGGAUAUAAAAGGACACAAUCCAGACCUGCAGCUGUGAAGUGAAGAACAACAGGAUGUCGAAGGACCAGCUGGACUCAGUGGUGAGCCACGCGGAGGGUUUGCUCUCAUUGGCCGUUCAGCUGCACGCGCAGUGUCAGGAGGAAAGCGCGCAGAUGGCCGCUCUAGCCGAGCAGCUGAGAGAGGAAGGCCAUAGUCUCCUCAGCCAAAGCGACGUGCUUCAACAGGACAUGGCUGAGAUGUGCAAAACGCUGGAAGCUCUGAUAGACACUAAAGUGGCGUUUGAAGCCAAAGAGAGGCAGGCUCGCAAACUAAGCAAGCAACUCUGAAACACAGCGGGAAAAUAGCUUGUCCAGCAAUUCAAAUUUAAUGAAAUUUGAAAUUACUUUAAAAUCCAAUCCUGAGACAACAAUAAUUUCUCAACAAAUGUGUGAGUUUGAGGCGGUGUUUGCUCGACCAGUAGCGGAUGUGUAGAGUGUUUGGCAAAACUUAAAGGAAUAGUUCACCCCAAAAUGAAAAUUAUCCCAUUAUUUACUCACCCUCAAGCCAUCCUAGGUGUAUAUGACUUUUUUCUUUCAGCCAAACACUAUCAGACUUGUAUUAAAUAAUAUCCUGGCUCUUCCCAGCUUUGUUAUGGCAUUAAAUAGUGCCCGAGUUUUUGAAGCUCCAAAAUGUGCAUCCAUCCAUCAUAAAAAUAAUCCAUAUGACUCCAGUGGCUUAAUAAAUGCCUUCUGAAGCAAAGCGAUGGUUUUUGUAAGACAAAUACCCAUAUUUAAAACUUAAUAAACUAUAAUCUCUGGCAAUGGCCGUACGCACAUUCAUGAAAGUCGAGUUCUGGCAGAAGGGUGACCUCUGACCUCUGAUAGAAGAUAGUCAUAUACACCUAGGAUGGCUUGAGGGUGAGUAAAUUAUGAGAUAAUUUUUAUUUUUGGGUGAACUAUCCCUUUAAACCAUCAUGAGUUGGUGGGGCAGAAAUGACACACAUCAACUUUAAAUGUGGCGUCUUUUUCUUUUAAUCUUCUAAACACUCCACAGCUCACAUUUGUAAAUAAUCAGUAUUAUUACACUGAGCACACAAAAAAUUAAUUUUUGAUUUUGCAAGGCACUGCCAUAAAUAUGGAUACAGAUCGCCUUCUGAUCUUCACAUUUAGCUGUUAUUUUAAGAUGUUAAAUGAUGGUACUGAGUGCUGUAUGACUGUAAUAGAAUGACACACACACACACACACACAUAUACAUACAGUAUAUAUAUAUAUAUAUGUGUGUGUGUGUGUGUGUGUAUACAUACAUUUUGUAUGCCAUUCUAAGUGAAGUUAAAUGUUCAUAAACGUUCAUGUCAAAAUAUGAUUAAUGAUCUAAAAUAUUGAUAAUUGUAUAAUAUUUACAUAAAUAUUAACUAAACUGUACCUAUUGACUGUUGUCUAAGGCAACCGAUUUCAUACAUAGCUGUGCUAGUUUUAUGUCUUGUGUGGCACUCAGCAGUCAAUUUCUUGUAACAUAAUUUCAUUUUUACAUCAUUUAUUCAUUUACUUGCUAAAUAUCCAUGUAUUAAACAGGAUAAAACCACUUCAAGGUAUAGAAGAGCCCUCCUGUUCAUUUUGGGGAUUACUUUCCUGAUUACUUUAUUUUGCAACAAUGGUUGGUUGACUCGUCUUAUAUCCAUCAUGUCCAAUGACAUGUUCUUAGGCAUGUCAAUUGGCUCUCUGGACAUAUCUUUAAACUUUGUAUAUAUUAUUGUAGCUAUCACAUCAAAGCACUAUUUAGAUGAAUAAUUAAAUAAAAAUUCAAGUGUUGCCACAAAAA